CUCUUUUUCUUCUUUCUCCUUCUUAACGCUGGCGGCGUGCCUAAUACAUGCAAGUCGAGCGAACAGAUAAGGAGCUUGCUCCUUUGACGUUAGCGGCGGACGGGUGAGUAACACGUGGGUAACCUACCUAUAAGACUGGGAUAACUUCGGGAAAACGGAGCUAAUACCGGAUAACAUUUGGAACCGCAUGGUUCUAAAGUGAAAGAUGGUUUUGCUAUCACUUAUAGAUGGACCCGCGCCGUAUUAGCUAGUUGGUAAGGUAACGGCUUACCAAGGCGACGAUACGUAGCCGACCUGAGAGGGUGAUCGGCCACACUGGAACUGAGACACGGUCCAGACUCCUACGGGAGGCAGCAGUAGGGAAUCUUCCGCAAUGGGCGAAAGCCUGACGGAGCAACGCCGCGUGAGUGAUGAAGGGUUUCGGCUCGUAAAACUCUGUUAUUAGGGAAGAACAAAUGUGUAAGUAACUGUGCACAUCUUGACGGUACCUAAUCAGAAAGCCACGGCUAACUACGUGCCAGCAGCCGCGGUAAUAC
Molecule: ribosomal RNA, 536 nt
Filed under: uncultured bacterium
Lineage: Bacteria
Description: bacterial SSU rRNA
Rfam family: Bacterial small subunit ribosomal RNA
Source: RNAcentral